AUCUCACCAUAAAAAAAUACCAUUGGCUUUUGCUGGUUUCCUCACCCAAAACCACCAGCAGGAAGCCUUUAGCCUCAGGUUUUUUCCUAAACUUUUGGCAUUCUCACCUAUAUAACCAAACCCCAUCCUCCCAUCGGAUUCAUCAAAGCAUAGCUCGUGUUUUCUUACUCUCCACAAAUCCCACUACAAACUUGUUGGUUCUAUAUUACAGUAACAUAAAAAAUGAGUUCAGCGAGUAAAGCUUGGUUGGUUGCCGCUGCUAUCGGAGGUGUUGAGGCGUUGAAAGAUCAAGGGUUCUGUAGGUGGAACUACACCUUGAGAUCCCUACACCACCAUGCCAAGAACCAUGUCAGAUCAGCCUCUCAGGCCAAGAAGCUUUCUUCUUCAUCCUCAGCCAUGAUCUCAAAUAUAGUCAAGGAAGAGAAGGCAAAACAGUCAGAGGAGUCUUUAAGAAAAGUCAUGUACUUGAGUUGUUGGGGUCCAAACUAAAGUAAUGAAUCUAGGAGAUGAAAUCGAGGGACUUAGUUUAUAGGAGUAAAUCGUAGCAAGCUUAUGCAAAUUGUAAAUUUUGAUGCUCAUUUGAUGAAAUCGAACAUUAUCGCAUGUUUCUACCAUUUCUUUUGGUAACGCGCAGUGCAUUUCCCUAGUGAGUAAAUUUAACAAAGCUCUUUUCUAGUUUUCAAGUGGAAUAAACAGGCAAUUAAUUUCAAUAUGAGAUAUGAAAUUCAACUCGAGGCUAAAAUCUCUUUCUCCCCACAUCCUCAAAUGGAUAAAAAGGCUACAUGAAAAACGAAAACCUCAAAUUGGAUUUGACCCCAAAGAAAAUCCAUUUUGCUGUAAAAUUCUCAGUCACUGAUCUCAACAGGAGUGAUCGUUGUGUGAAAAAUGGAACAUAAGCUUGUACUAUCAGAUAAAUUUAUUAAUAAGUAAGAUUGGAUUAGCUUCAAUAAGGAAUUAUAAUUACGAAAGCUAAAUCUUUUAAAUUUUAGAGCAAUUAGAAAUCAAAGAGUUACAUGGUUAUUAAUUUAAAAAUUCAUAAAAUUAAUUAAAAAAUAUAUGAAUUGAUUAGAACACCUAUAUUAAUUAAAAAAAAUAAUAGGAAUGAUGCUGAUUCAAAAUUAAUGUUCAUUCUUAAAUCACUCUUACAAGCUCACUAGAAUCUCUCUAUGUUAAACCCAAAUGAAAACAAAAAACUAAAAAUAUGAGCGUUUAUUUUCAGAAAAACAAAUGGUCGUGAGACCAACACAAUUUUUGCCUAAAUUUCUUUUCAAGCGCUAAUAGUUAGCAUUAGUGGAAAGCUACCUCCAAGAAUAUGGCAUGUGGCAUUCCUCGACUCUAAUUUGGCCUUUGUUGGAUUUUUUUGUUUAACAAAACGGUGUGCUCGUGAGAAGAUAGAGACAAAGUUGAUUUGUCGCAUGUCAUGCACAAAUUAAAAAAUCCACUAACGCAUCAUGUCAUAAAAAAUACCGUUGGCCUUUGCUGGUUUCCUCCCUCGAAACCACCACCAAGAAGCCUUUAGCCUAUGGUUUUUCUCCUACACUUUUGGUACACUCACCUAUAUAACCAAACCCCUUUACUCCCCUUUACUUCAUCAAAUCAUAGCUCCUGAUAUCUUAAUCUCUACAAAUCCCACUUCAAAGAGUUUCCAACUCGUUGGUUCUAUAUUACAGUAACACAGAAAAUGAGUUCAGCAAGCAAAGCUUGGUUGGUUGCAGCAGCUGUUGGAGGUGUUGAGGCCUUGAAAGACCAAGGGUUCUGCAGGUGGAACUACACCUUGAGAUCCCUCCACCAACAUGCCAAGAACCAUGUCAGAUCAGCCUCUCAGGCCAAGAAGCUUUCUUCUUCAUCCUCUGCCAUGAUCUCGAAUAAAAUCAAGGAAGUGAGAGCAAAACAGUCUGAGGAAUCUCUAAGAAAAGUCAUGUAUUUGAGCUGUUGGGGCCCUUACUAAGCAAAGAAGCAAGAACAGAGAUUGAGGAAAUUAUCGUGAUAGGAUUACCCUGAUUGUUGCAAGUCGAUGUAAAUAUUUGUAAAUUUUGUUGCUGACUUAAUGGAAUCAAACAAUAUUAUUCUUGGAUUAGUUUUUCCUUGCACCUUUUAUGUUUUCCCACUUCUUUUGGUAGCACCUCAUGUCACAGGUGAAAACUAAAGGGAUCAUGACAAGGUUCAAUUUUAGUGCAUCACAGCAUUUGCUAAGGAUAUUUAAAUUAAUUGCAACCCCAAGCUAAAUAUCUAAUUUGGUUUAAAAAGUAUUUUAAAAAAUCAGCAACUCAACUGGAGGAGGGGUUGUAUCGCAAAAGCUAAAUAUCUUGAUAGGUUGACAAAUUAGUGCAAAUCUUAAACUGGAAUUCUCAAUUUCAAUCUGGCCCAGAAGAAAAUUAGUUUAGGAGUAUUUCUUCACUCACAAGUGUUUUUUUUAAUAUUAUAUUUUAUAAUUUUUUAGUUGAAUAUUGAAUUCUUUAAUAGUUAAGUUUCAUAUUUUUAUUUAGUUUUUUUUUUUACUUUUUUAAUUAUUUUUUGCCAUGAAUAAUCUUUUGAAUAAAUAUAAAAUUUAUUUCUAGCAACAAAAUUACUAGAUAUAAUUGAGUAAUAACGCAUAAUUAAAUAUUUUAAUCUUAUUAAAUAUUUUAAUCAAAUAUUAAUUCAUUCAAUUAAAUACAUGCAUAAAUAUUGUAAUAUAUAAUUGAGAAUUUUUUAUAUUAACAACCUCAUGAAAAACUUAAUUAUUAUUUUUUUUUUUUACUAAAAAGGAUAUAUAAUCCUCUACGAAGUGCUGUUGAAAUAGUUUACAUACAGUCCUCAUUGUGCAUGGUGAAUAUUUUGCAGGAGAUUCCCGGAUCAUUAAACAACUUCAUCAUUUAAAUGAUGAAUGCAGAGAGGUAUUUAUGGUGCAGCUUGGAUUCAGUUCAAAGAGAUCCAAUAUAUGUUUCCUUGCUUCGUCCAGAUGAAGGUUACGUUUGUGUGAUUGUGGAUGGCAGCUCUCAUGGGCAAUCCAGGCGUGUCUGGAUUUGGGGAACUGGUUUGAAACAAUGACAGUCACCGGAUGGCGGGUUUCUUGGGUUUUUGUGGUUUUGGAUUGAAUCUUCUUCCGGAACUUCUGGCAAUUAAACAUGGCUUAGCUGAAGCAUAGGAUAGAGGCCAUAGGAGGAUCAUUAUCGAUUCUCAAGAGGCAAUCAAGCUUACAAAAGAGAAGAAUUCUAAAUUUCAUAAAUUGGAUGCGGUUAUAUGUAGAUGUCAAGUUUUUUUGGCUAAGCAUGAUGUAAAGAAUCAUGAUUUGUUCCAGGUGUGGGACAUUCCUUCUCCGGGGCUACACUCUCUCCUUAUGACCGAUUCGUUGGUUCGUUGGGUUUCAAUUUUAGAAGAGUUUUUUAGUUUGUGUCAUUUAAUUUUCACUGCAUCAAAAAAAAAAAAAAUUCCUAACUAUUACUUCAACUUUCUUGCUUAUUAGCAAUCAUACAACAACAGCAGCAACAAGUAACAGCAUCACUUGUCUUUCAUCCUUUUACAGUUCCAUAACACCAAAACAGCUUUGUGAAUACAUGUUUAACCGUAAAAUAAAAUACGAAAAAAGAUGAAUUUUAAGAGAGAGAGAGAGAGGCUCUCAACUUUAUUUUAUAUUAAAGAAAACGAAAAGGAGAAGCAUGCAUUUUGACAUUUGUUUAUCCUCAGUCCCACACUUUCUUUCAGUCCUUACAAGUGGCAAAAAUGAGAAGUGCCACCAAAUUGUGACAUGCAUGACUCACCACCCUUCAGCUAUGCUCCUCCUUAUACGGUGGCUAGGAUUUAUUUAUUUUACGAAGCAAAACCAUGUGCUCAUUUCAAGGCAGGCAGAGAAGCUUUUGGCUUGUUGUGGAGUAAAGGGCAAAAAAAUCUAGCCAUCCCAAGAACCCGAUUUUGUCCCCACUUUCUUAUUGUCACCAUGUGGUAGUUGAAUGUUAAUACAGCCAUCUCACCAUAAAAAAUUACCAUCGGCUUUUGCUGGUUUCCUCACCCAAAACAACCAGCAGGAAGCCUUUAGCCUCAGGUUUUUUCCUCAACUUUUGGCAUUCUCACCUAUAUAACCAAACCCCAUCCUCCCAUCGGAUUCAUCAAAGCAUAGCUCGAGCUUUCUUACUCUCUACAAAUCCUACUACAAACUUGUUGGUUCUAUAUUACAGUAACAUAAAAAAUGAGUUCAGCGAGUAAAGCUUGGUUGGUUGCCGCUGCUAUCGGAGGUGUUGAGGCGUUGAAAGAUCAAGGGUUCUGUAGGUGGAACUACACAUUGAGAUCCCUCCACCACCAUGCCAAGAACCAUGUCAGAUCAGUCUCUCAGGCCAAGAAGCUUUCUUCUUCGUCCUCAGCCAUGAUCUCAAAUAUAGUCAAGGAAGAGAAGGCAAAACAGUCAGAGGAGUCUUUAAGAAAAGUCAUGUACUUGAGUUGUUGGGGUCCAAACUGAAGCUAUGAAUCUAGUAGAUGAAAUCGAGGGACUUAGUUUAUAGUUUAUAGGAGUAAAUCCUUGCAAGCUUAUGCAAAUUGUAAAUUUUGAUGCACAUUUUCUGAAAUCGAACAUUAUCACAUGUUUUUAUCAUUUCUUUUGGUAGCGCGAGUGCAUUUCCCUAGUGAGUAAAUUUAACAAAGCUCUUUUCUAGUUUUCUAGUGGAAUAAACAGGCAAUUAAUUUCAUUUAAUUUCAAUAUGAGAUAUGAAAUUCAACUGGAGGUUAAAAUCUCUUUCUCCCCACAUCCUCAGAUGGAUAAAAAGGCUAUCUCAAAUUGGAUUUGACCCCAAAGAAAAUCCAUUUUGUUGUAAAAUUCUCAGUCACUAAUCACAACAGGAGUGAUCAUUGUGUGAAAAAUGGAAGAGGACCUUGUACCAUCACAUAAAUUUAUUAAUAAGUAAGAUUGGAUCGAAUUCUUUUGAUAUUUAAAAAUACAGAAUUAUGUCUUUUUCUAUGUCAAAGUGUGCAGUUCAAGAAACUAGGAACGAUGCUGAUUCAAAAUUAAUGUUCAUUCUUAGAUCACUCUUACAAGCUCACUAGAAUCUCUCUCUGUUAAACCCAAAUGAAAAGAAAAAACUAAAAAUAUGAGCGUUUAUUUUCAGAAAUACAAAUGGUCUUGACCAAUACAAUUUUUGCCUAAAUUUCUAUUCAAGCGCUAAUAGUUAACAUUAAUGGAAAGCGACCUGCAUAUGACCUUCUUGCAGAAAGAAAACAACUGAACUUUUAACUUCCAUGCAUCAUAGCCAUUAAACCUGGCAUAGAUUAGAUUAGCAAAGCUGAGUCUGAAAACAAAUCCUCACAGAAAUCUGAAAACAUAAAACUAAAGUUAUUGUUUUAAUUAUUUUUCUAAUUAAUUUUAAAUUAUAAUUAUUUAUUUUCUAUUUAAUUUAUGCUAGAUGGAUUAUAUUAAUUAGAAUUUUUUUUAACUAUAAAUCCUUUUUUAUAACAAAUUUUAGAAUUAAUAUAAAUAGAAAUAUGUAGUUUAUUUUUAUAGAGAUAAAAACUAUUAUUUAUAUUUAAUAAAAAUAUAUAAAAAAUUAAAAUUUCUGAAAAGUUUAAUCUACAAUUUUAGAACUUGAAGUCUAGUUUUAUUUUGGCUAUAGUCUGUGUCAUGACUUAAACUGUCUAGUUUUUUACUGAACUGUAUUAAAUAUUAAUUUAGUAAAAUUCGAAUUGGAUUGGCUUGCGAGUUAAUCUAAUGAUCGAUUAAGUGGCCGUUUGGAUUUGCUGCAGCGGUUGCGGUUGAAAUGAAAAUAUGCAAUAUAGUGUUUGGUUAACACCAACCAUGUUUUUUAUUGAUGUGGGUCCCAGUCCAAAACUAAGGCUGGACUUCAGUUUUUGAAAAGCAAUUACCAAUUGCUUUUCAUGCGUUUUGCCCUCUCUUUCAUCGCCGACACUUUCCUCUUGUUUUCCCAACGAUCCCAACUCCUGUCCUUGAUUUUUAUGUUUCAACUCUCACAGCCUAUCCAUUUCCAAACCUCAGCAGCUUAGGAAAGAGAAAAGCUCACAAUCUGUUUUUUUUGAAAAGGUUUAUUCUACCCAUAUAACUUAUAAUUUUUUAUCGCCUUGUUAUUAAUAUGGGGUUUAAUUUUUAUUUUAUUCUACGACUGUCUAUUUUUAAAAAAAUUAUUUAAUCUAUCUUUUUUAAAUAGCAAUUAUUCUUAUAUAUAUUUUUAGUUUUAUAAUGUACCAAAGAAGUUAUUGUAAUUUAUCUUUAUUUUUUUUCUUUUAUAUUUGAUUAAAAAAAUAACCUCUAAGAUAAAAAAAAAAACAAAAAAAAACAUAUGAAUUAAAAAAAAAGUUAGGUCAAAUAUUUUAAUGCUUAUUGUAUUUUGUUUUUAUGAAAGAUAUUAAUUUUUUUAUUUUAAUAUUUAAUUACCAUUAACAAAUUUUUCUCAACUUAUCACUUCUUAGAUUUUUAUAUUUAUUUUAUUAAAUUUAAAUAAAAACUUAACAUUUUUCAAUUAAAAAAAUUCACAAUACAAUAAAAUGCAUUUACAAAAUUGGCGUUUAUUAAAAAAAUUCAUUUCUUUUGAAAAGUGCUUUUUGAAUCAUAAUUUUACCAAACACAAAACUGCUUUUUUUUUCUACCACAAUUUAAACCACAGUUUUUUAACCAAACACAAGAAACUGUUUUUUUUAAAACCACAACUCCAACCACAGUUUUAACCAAACACUAACUUUUUUUGAAAUCAAUCUCACAAAAAAUACUUUUUAUUAAACUAUUCUUUUCAAACCAUAAUUAUAAAAGCUACCACAAUACUAAACACAUUCAGUAAGGGAAAAAAAAAAAAAAACAAAAGAAAGAAAGCAUGCAGUUUCCUAGACGGUCCUGCUACCUUAAUUGAUACAGUUUCAUGCGUAUGAGCCUCCAAGAACAUGGCAUGUGGCAUUCCUCACCUCUAAUUUGGGCUUAGUUGGAUAUUUUUUUUAAGCAAAACGGUGUGCUCGCGGGAAGAUAGAGACAAGGUUGAUCUGUCGAUUGUUAUGAAUAAAUUAAAAAAUCUACACCCACCCCAUUUUAUCCCAACUUAUUUAAUGAAUCCAGUCGUCUACUAAGACAAUAGAUGCAUCAUGUCAUCAAAAAUACCGUUGGCCUUCGCUGGUUUCCUCACUCAAAACCACCACGAAGAAGCCUUGAGCCUCUGGUUUUUCUCCUACACUUUUGGUACACUCACCUAUGUAACCAAACCCCCUUACUCUCAUUUACUUCAUCAAAUCAUAGCUCCUGAUAUCUUAAUCUCUCCAAAUCCAACUUCAAAGAGUUUCCAACUCGUUGGUUCUAUAUUACAGUAACAGAGAAAAUGAGUUCAGCAAGCAAAGCGUGGUUGGUUGCAGCAGCUGUUGGAGGUGUUGAGGCGUUGAAAGAUCAAGGGUUCUGUAAAUGGAACUACACCUUAAGAUCGCUGCACCAACAUGCCAAGAACCAUGUCAGAUCAGCCUCUCAGGCCAAGAAGCUUUCUUCUUCAUCUUCUGCCAUGAUCUCGAAUAAAGUCAAGGAAGUGAAAGCAAAACAGUCUGAGGAAUCUCUAAAAAAAGUCAUGUAUUUGAUCAGCUGCUGGGGUCCUUACUAAAGCUAAGAAGCAAGAUGAAAUUGAGAAACUUAUCGUGAUAGGAUUACCCUGAUCGUUGCAAGUUGAUGUAAAUAUUUGUAAAUUUUGGUGCUGACUUAAUGGAAUCAAACUAUAUUAUUUUUUCAUUAAUUUUUCCUUGCACCAUUUAUUUUUUCUGUUUUCCCCCUUCUCUUGGUAGCACCUCGUGUCACAAGUGAAAAAGGAUCAUGACAAGGUUCAAGUUUAGUGCAUCACAGCAUUUGCUAAGGAUAUUUAAAUCAAUUGCAAUCUCAAGAUAGAAUCGAAAUUCUAAUUUCGUUACGAAAAUCUAUUUUAAAAAAGCUAGGCCUGCAACUUUGACUGGUUUUUUAAUGACAUCCAUGGAUUAAGAAAUAAUUAUUGGAUUAAAACCUUACCCCGUUUUUGGAGCCAAAUGGAAGUUAUAUAUAUAUAUAUAUAUAUAUAUAUAUAUAUAUAUAUAUAUAAUCUGUUAAAUGAAGAUCAACAGGGCUUCUUUACUUCAAUGUCAGAACUUUUGAGCAUUCAAGAAACUUGGAAUGUUGCAAAAUGGUUGAACUUGACAGAAAAGAAAUAUUUUUUUUUGAAGUGAAUAAUGUUUAGUAACGUAAUGAGAAUCCAUUUGAUCACUGCUCAAGUCGUUUAUGCAUCAAAAUUUUGCUUGAUGACAUGUCUGGAUAAGGAGAGCUUGAGAGUUGAGAACUUGGUAUUUUGUGACACACGCAAUGGAUCUACAAUUAUUGUCUGUCCUUUACUCAAGCCCCACUCCUGAAGAAAAACAGGAGGAUUUGCCUCCUAUACUUGAGGCUCACCUCGGAGUUUUAUAAAGCAAACCGUGUGCCUCUUUAUCAAAACAAGGCCCCGCUCUAGCAACAUGAUAAGAUGCAUGAAAAAGAAAUGUAUUUAAUGCCACCAAGUGGUCCUUGAUGGACAUAAAGAUUCAGUCCCAUCAUAGCUGGUGGUUUGGCUCCCUUAAGCUAAAACCACCAGCUACAGCUUGUUCCUAGCUUCCGGUUUCCUUCAAAUUUCUGGCACCUAGUCCGCUACUCUCUUUAUAAGCAAAUCCCAGUUUGCCAUUUACACCAUCGACACGAAUUCUCAAUUACAUCUCAUCCUUUUCAACUAAAAAUCUCACAUCAACGAGUUUCCAACUAUUGUUCUAUUUUAUAUUACAGAGAAAAUGAGUUCAGCAAGUAAAGCUUGGUUGGUAGCUGCUGCUAUUGGAGGUGUUGAGGCCUUGAAAGACCAAGGCUUCUGUAGGUGGAACUACACAUUGAGAUCGCUACACCAACAUGCCAAGAACCAUGUCGGGUCAAUUUCUCAGGCUAAUAAGAAGCUCCCUUAUUCAUCUUCUGCCAUUAUUUCAAAUAAAUUCAAGGAAGAGAAGAUGAAACAGUCAGAGGAGUCUCUAAGAAAAGUCAUGUAUUUGAGUUGUUGGGGUCCUAACUGAUACUCUCAAGAAAAAGGAAAUUCUGAGGAAAUCAGUUCAUAGGAUUAGAGUAAAUUUUUGCAAGUUGAUUUAAACUGUAAAUGCUUGUGCUGACAAUCAAAUAUAUCUCAUUUUAUUGGCAAAAUUUUGGGAAAAUGGCCUUAAAGUAACAUUAACAAAGGAUAUGGCUCAUGUUAAAAAAAACACCAGCAACUCAAUUGGAGGAGGAGUUGUAUCACAGAAGCUAAAUAUCUUGAUAAGUUGAUAAAUUAGGACAAAUCUUAAACUGGAAUUCUCAAUUUCAGUUUGGCCCAGAAGAAAAUUAGUUUAGGAAUAUUUCUUUACUCACAAGUGUUCACGGCAGGGUGAUGAUCACUGUAUGUGAAAUGAAAACGCUGUGUUUGUUUUCCGGAAAGUGGUUUCCGGGAAAGCACUUUCCAAACUUUCUCGUGUUUGUUUGCCAGUAGGAAAGUUGGUCAAUGGAAAACACUUUCCAGUAAAAGGAAAAUUUGGCUUGGUUUUCAGGAAAGUGUUUUCCUGAAAAAUUUGAGGGGAAAACACUUUCCAGAAGUUGUGAAAAUUUUAGAAAUGUCAUUAUUUGCUGAUUAUAUCAAAUUUGAUCCUCAAACUUUUGAUUGCUAUAUAUAUUUUGUUUUGAAUAUUUAUUUUUCAAUUUCAUCUCUUAAAAUUUUAUUUUUAUAUUAACUUUGGUCCUUAUUUUUAUAAUUGUUAUUUGCUUUUUUCUUACCAUUUUUUUAUUGAAAUUUUUUAUUUAUCAAAUUUGAUCCUCAUUCUUUUUGAUUGUUACUUAUUUUAUUUGAAAUAAUUUAUGAAAUGUUGAUUAUUAUUAUUUUAAUUUCUUCAUUUUUCAUUUUUUUUUAUUUUUUUAGAUUUGAUCCCUAUUAUUUUGAUUAUUAUUUGUUUUAUUUGAGAUAAUUUAUGAAAUUAUAUUUUUUUUUUUCAAUUUCAUUCUCAUUCAACUUUUUAAUUUGUAAGAUUUGUUCCUCAUUAUUUUAAUAAACUUGAGAAAAAUAAAAUAUUAAUAAGUUAUUUUCCAGCUCAUUUUUCAUGACAUAACUAAACACUGGAAAGUGUUUUCCAGUUCAUUUUCCAUAACACUACCAAACAUCGGAAAAUACUUUCCCGGAAUUCACUUUCCAGGAAUUCACUUUCCUCGGAAUUCACUUUCCAAAAGAAAUUCACUUUCCUGCAAACAAACGGAGCCUUAAAUUACAAAAGAAUUGUAUAAAUAAUUAACCCGAAGAAUUUUUGAAUAAUUAUAUGAUGAAUUUAUGAAAAACUUUCACACAGAAAUUGGGUUUUUAAAGACAACAAUUAUAGAUGAGAGAUGUGUGUGGGGGUCUAAAUAUGGGAUUAGCCUUAAAAAAUAUCGAUCUUGGGACGUGAAGAAUAUUUUCAAACCAAUUGAUUUGGUGAAAACUUUGGUGUUAUCAUUGAUGUUGGCAAAACGUUAUCUAGAAAAAGCUAUUGGUAUAGAAAAUAUAUACUUGAUUUUCAUAGACAUGUGAUUAUUGGCUUGAUGUUUGGAUCACGACCCCAACAAUAACAAGGAGGCGAAGGUUUAUUGCCAUUUGGGUCAACAAAAACAAUUUUGUUCUGGUAAAAAUGUAUGCCAUCAUUUUCCUCUCAUGUUUUUUAAACAAAUAUGCUCGAAAGACAUGAAAAGAAAAGAAAAAAUUAGAAAAAGAAAACUUGUUUUGUAUAGAGUUUACAAGUGUAGAUAGUUUUUGUUAAAUUUUUGCAAGAAAGAGCAAAGUUUAAUUAUCUUGCUUAGAGGUAGUUUAGUUAAAAAAAAGAGUGGAAAAGUAAGCAAUAUGAUAUCUGAAUGAGUGUACAAGUUCAAGACGCCUUACAUGAGAAGUCCAAAUUUAAUUAUCAUGUUUUGGAGACAGGUAGUCAAAAAGACUUGAAGAAAGAUUUGUGAUUUUUUUUAUAGACAAGUGGUUACAGAAUAAUGAAAAAGGAUAUCUUAUACUUUAGAAAAUAUAUGAUCAUAGUGUUUUGGAGACAUUUAUGAAGAUUCAAUUAAGACAUGAAGAUUUUAGUAUGAAAAAUUAAAGAAGCUAGAGUUUAUUUUCAAUAUAAGUUAUAUAUUUAUUACACUGAAUAGGCUAAUUUGUUUGUUUUGUUUAUUGUAAUUUCAUGCUUGCAAGAGUUAUUUUUCAAUGCUAUUGUGUAAUCUUUUAUAUAUAUAUAUAUAUUCAAUUACUAUCUUUGCUUAUUUUUUUAUUGUCUAAUUAAAAUAAAACUAACUUAUUAAAUUUAAAUGAGGCUAUAACCUGAGUUAUUUGUUUUUUUUUAUUUCUUUUAAAUAUGCUUGUGACACCUAGAUUAUAGUUGUCUUUUUUUAUUUUUUAUUUUUUAUUUUAAUUGAUACCUUUUUAAAAAAAUAUUUUUUUUUAAUUUAUAUUUGCAUUAAUAUCUCUUCUCAAUUAUUUUUUAUUUUUAAUUGAUUUUUCCUUCAAUUUCAUCCAUAUCCUUUGGUUUAAUUUGAUUUUUAAAUCAAACUUAUUUCUUAUUCUUUUGAUAUUUUUAAACCUUUUAUAAAUUGAUUUUUUUUCAAUUACAUUCCUUGGCAUUUAAUUUCAAUUUAUUUUUCUAUUAAAUUUGGUUCCCGUUAUUUGUUUUUCUUCUUGUCUUUUAUGGGGUUAGUCUCAUCCUCAUUACAAGGGUCACAAGUUUCGAAGGUUAACAUUGGUUGACUUUGAUUUUUUUAAGUUUUUUUAUCAAAUUGAUUUAUUUUUAAUUUUAUCCUAUAAUAUUUAAUUUUUUUUAAUUAGUUUUUUUUUAUCUUUUUUUAUAUGGAGUUAUCUCAAUCCUAUACCCAUAGUCUUAGAGUUAGUGGCUUAAUCCAAGUUAACUCGGAUUUGUUUUCAUAUAUAAAUAUAAUUUUCUUAAUUCCAUUGCUAAAGAUCUUUUUAUUGAGAAUUUUGCUUCGUUGUUUUUUUUGUUUGCCUUCCAAUGCAGUCGGUCUCAGUCUCAUGACCACGGUUGUGGAUUUUAAAAGUUAAUAUUUGUUAAUUUUGAUUUGUUUAGGUUUUUUUUUUUUUCAAUUUCAUCAUUCAACAUUUAAAUUUUUAGGAUUGAUCUUCAUGCUUUUUUUUUAUUCACUUUCUUUUUUAUGGGGCUAUCUCAAUCUAAUGCCCAAAAUCGUGAAGUUAGUGAGUUAACCUAGCAGAGACAAGUUUGAUAUUAGAAUAAAUGGAUUUAAAUAAUAUUUUAUUUUUAACUUUUUCGUAUUAAAAUGAUUUGAAUAUAUAUAUAUAUAUAUAUAUAUAUAUAUUUUAAAAGCAAAAACAAACUAGGUAUAAUAAUAAAAACUUAAUUUAUCUCCAUUUUUUUAAUGACCAAGUUGUAUUCCAAUAAUUGAAGGGGAAAUAGAGACCACUUGUCUUCUAAAAAAUACCGUUGGCCUUCGCUGGUUUCCUCACUCAAAACCACCACCAAGAAGCCUUUAGCCUCUGGUUUUUCUCCUACAAUUUUGGUACACUCACCUAUAUAACCAAACCCCUUUACUCCCAUUUCCUUCAUCAAAUCAUUGCUCCUGAUAUCUUAAUCUCUUCAAAUCCCACUUCAAAGAGUUUCCAACUCGUUGGUUCUAUAUUACAGUAACAUGAAAAAUGAGUUCAGCGAGUAAAGCUUGGUUGGUUGCAGCAGCUGUUGGAGGUGUCGAGGCCUUGAAAGACCAAGGGUUCUGUAGGUGGAGCUACACCUUGAGAUCCCUUCACCAACAUGCCAAGAACCAUGUCAGAUCAGCCUCUCAGGCCAAGAAGCUUUCUUCUUCAUCCUCUGCCAUGAUCUCGAAUAAAAUCAAGGAAGUGACAGCAAAACAGUCGGAGGAAUCUCUAAGAAAAGUCAUGUAUUUGAGCUGUUGGGGUCCUUCCUAAAGCUAAGAAGCAAGAUGGAAUUGAGAAAAUUAUCGUGAUAGGAUUACCCUGAUCGUUGCAAGUUGAUGUAAAUAUUUGUAAAUUUUGGUACUGACUUAAUGGAAUCAAACUAUAUUAUUUCUUGAUUAAUUUUUCCUUGCACCAUUUAUUUUUUUCUGUUUUCCCACUUCUUUUGGAAAGGAUCAUGAAAAGGUUCAAUUUUAGUGCAUCACAGCAUUUGCUAAGGAUAUUUGAAUCAAUUGCAAUCUCAAGAUAGAAUCUAAAUUCUAAUUUGGUUAAGAAAAUCUAUUAAAACAAAAUCCAGGUCUAACUUUGACUGGUUUUUUAAUGACAUAUAUAUUAUCUGUUAAAUGAAGAUCAAUAGGGCUUAUUUAUUUAAAUGUCAGAACUUUUGAACUUUCAAGAAAAUUGGAAUGUGGCAAAAUGGUUGAACCUGACAAAAAAAAAAAGUAUUUUCUUGAAUAUCUGAAAAAUGAAUUAGCUCGUAAGAAAUAAUUAUUUUGAAGUGAAUAGUGUUUCGUAACAUUAGAGAAUCCACUUGCUCACUGCUCAGGUCGUUUAUGCGUCAAAAUUUUGCUGGAUGCCAAGUCUUUAGAACGCUCGAUUAAGGAGAGCUUGAGAGUUCAGAACUUUGUAUUUUGUGACGCAUGCAAUGGAUCUACAAGACUACAAGUAUUGUCUGUCCUUUACUCAAGCCCCACUGCUGAAGAAAAACAAGUGGAUUUGCCUCCUAUACUUGAGGCUCACUUCGGAUUUUUAUAAAGCAAACCGUGUGCUCUUUACCAAAACAUGGCCCCGCUCUAGCAACAUGAUAAGAUGCAUGAAAAAGAAAUGUAUUUAUAAUUCCACCAAGUGGUCCUUGAUAGACAUAAAGAUUCAGUCCCAUCAUAGCAUAACCACGAUAAAAUAAUACCACUGGCUCCCUUAAACCAAAACCAGCAACCACAGCUUGCUCCUUGCUUCCGGUUUCCUCCCAAUUUCUGGCAAUUAGUUCCCAACUCUCUUUAUAAGCAAAUCCCAGUUUGCCAUUUACACCAUCGACACGGAUUCUGAAUCACAUCUCAUCGUUUUCAACUAAAAAUCCCACAUCAAAGAGUUUCCAACUAUUGUUCUAUUUUAUAUUACAGAGAAAAUGAGUUCAGCAAGUAAAGCUUGGUUGGUAGCUGCUGCUAUUGGAGGUGUUGAGGCCUUAAAAGACCAAGGCUUCUGUAGGUGGAACUACACAUUGAGAUCGCUACGCCAGCAUGCCAAGAACCAUGUCGGGUCAAUUUCUCAGGCUAAUAAGAAGCUCCCUUGUUCAUCUUCUGCCAUUAUUUCAAAUAAAUUCAAGGAAGAGAAGGCGAAACAGUCAGAGGAGUCUCUAAGAAAAGUCAUGUAUUUGAGUUGCUGGGGUCAAAACUGAUACUCUCAAGAAAGAAGAAAUUCUGAGGAAAUCAGUUCAUAGGAUUAGAGUAAAUUUUUGCAAGUUGAUUUAAACUGUAAAUGCUUGUGCUGAUUGCCAAUCAAAUAUAUCUCAUUUUAUUGGCAAAAUUUUGGGAAAAUGGCCUUAAAGUAACAUUAACAAAGGAUAUGGCUCAUGUUAAAAAAAAAACCAGCAACUCAAUUGGAGGAGGAGUUGAUAAAUUAGGACAAAUCUUAAACUGGAAUUCUCAAUUUCAAUUUGGCCCAGAAGAAAAUUAGUUUAGGAAUAUUUCUUUACUCACAAGUGUUCACGGCAGGGUGAUGAUCACUGUAUGUGAAAUUAAACAGGCCUUUAAAUUACAAAAGAAUUGUAUAAAUAAUUAACCCGAAGAAUUUGUGAAUAAUUAUCUGAUGAAUUUAUGAAAAACUUUCACACAGAAAUUGGGUUUUUAAAGACAACAAUUAUAGAUGAGAGAUGUAUGGGGGUCUAAAUAUGGGAUUAGCCUUAAAAAAUAUCGAUCUUGGGACGUGAAGAAUUUCAAACCAAUUGAUUUGGUGAAAACUUUGGUGUUAUCAUUGAUGUUAGCAAAACGUUAUCUAGAAAAAGCUAUUGGUAUAGAAAAUAUAUACUUGAUUUUCAUAGACGUGUGAUUAUUGGCUUGAUGUUUGGAUCACGACCCCAACAAUAACAAGAAGGCGAAGGUUUAUUGCCAUUUGGGCCAACAAAAACAAUUUUGUUCUGGUAAAAAUGUAUGCCAUCAUUUUCCUCUCAUGUUUUUUAAACAAAUAUGCUCGAAAGACAUGAAAAGAAAAGAAAAAAAUUAGAAAAAGAAAACUUGUUUUGUAUAGAGUUUACAAGUGUAGAUAGUUUUUGUUAAAAGUUUUUGCAAGAAAGAACAAAGUUUAAUUAUCUUGCUUAGAGGUAGUUUAGUAAAAAAAAAGAGUGGAAAAGUAAGCAAUAUGAUAUCUGAAUGAGUGUACAAGUUCAAGACGCCUUACAUGAGAAGUCCAAGUUUAAUUAUCAUGUUUUGGAGACAGGUAGUCAAAAAGACUUGAAGAAAGAUUUGUGAUUUUUUUUAUAGAUUUGUGAUUUUUUUUAUAGACAAGUGGUUAUAGAAUAAUGAAAAAGGAUAUCUUAUACUUUAAAAAAUAUAUGAUCAUGGUGUUUUGGAGACAUUUAUGAAGAUUCAAUUAAGACAUGAAGAUUCUAGUGUGAAAAAUUAAAGAAGCUAGAGUUUAUUUUCAAUAUAAGUUAUAUAUUUAUUACACUGAAUAGGCUAAUUUGUUUUUUUUGUUUAUUGUAAUUUCAUGCUUGCAAGAGUUAUUUUUCAAUGUUAUUGUGUAAUAUAUAUAUAUAUAUAUAUUCAAUUACUAUCUUUGUCUAUUUUUUUAUUGUCUAUUUAAAAUAAAACUAACUUAUUAAAUUUAAAUGAGGCUAUAACCUGAGUUAUUUGUUUUUUUUAUUUCUUUUAAAUGUGCUUGUGACACCUAGAUUAUAGUUGUCUUUUUUUUAUUUUUUUAUUUUAUUUUUUAUUUUAAUUGAUACCUUUUUUAAAAAAUAUAUAUAUUUUUUAAUUUAUAUUUGCAUUAAUAUCUCUUCUCAAUUAUUUUUUAUUUUUAAUUGAUUUUUCCUUCAAUUUCAUCCAUAUCCUUUGGUUUAAUUUGAUUUUCAAAUCAAACUUAUUCCUUAUUCUUUUGAUAUUUUUAAACUUUUUUAUAAAUUGAUUUUUUUUCAAUUACAUUCCUUGGCAUUUAAUUUCAAUUGAUUUUUCUAUUAAAUUUGGUUCCCGUUAUUUGUUUUUCUUCUUGUCUUCUAUGGGGUUAGUCUCAUCCUCAUUACAAGGGUCACGAGUUUCGAAGGUUAACAUUGGUUAACUUCAAUUUUUUUAGGUUCUUUUAUCAAAUUGAUUUAUUUUUAAUUUUAUCCUUUAAUAUUUGAUUUUUUUAAUUAAUUUUUUUUAUCUUUCUUUAUAUGGGGUUAUCUCAAUUCUAUGCCCAUAGUCUUAGAGUUAGUGCCUUAAUCCAAGUUAAAUCAUAUAUACAUAUAAUUUUCUUAGUUCCAUUGCUAAGGAUCUUUUUGUUGAGAAUUUUGCUUCAUUGUUUUUUUUUGUUUGCCUUCCAUGCAGUCGGUCUUAGUCUCAUAACCACGGUUAUGGAUUUUAAAAGUUAACAUUUGUUAAUUUUGAUUUGUUUAGGUUUUUUUUAAAAUUGAUUUUUUUUUAAUUUUAUCAUUCAACAUUUAAAUUUUUGGGAUUGAUCUUCAUACUUUUUUUUUUCACUUUUCAUUUCAUGGAGCUAUCUCAAUCUAAUGCCCAAAAUUGUGAAGUUAGUGAGUUAAUCUAGAUUGACCAAAAUCUUUUUUUAUUGAUUUUUUUAAAAUAUUUAUUUUUAGUUGUCACUCAAUAUUAGAUUGUUUGAGUUUCAUAUUUUUUUCAAUUUGUUUUUGUUAACAAUUCUUUGUAUUGUUUAUUGGCACGAAUAAUCUUUUAAUUAAACAAAAAGUUUAUUCUAUAAAACAAAGUUAUUGAACAUAAGUAAGUAGAUAACAUGGGUUGCAUGAUCAAAUAUUUUAAUCUUAAUAAGUCAUUGAUUAAAUAUUAAUUUAUUUAAUUAAAUAUAUGUAUAAAUAUUUUAAUAUAUGAUUGAGAAUUUUUUAUAUAAAAAACAUGAAGAAAAACUUAUUUAUUCUUUAUUUUUUUAUUAAAAAAUUAAGAUAUAUAAUCCUCUACGAAGCGCUGUUGAAAUAGUUUAUUGUAGUUUUCUAGACCAUCACAAUUGUUUACAGACAGUCCUCACUAUUACUUCAAUUGUCUUCAAAAACAGUCUUGCCCAAAACAAAACAUUGAUUGAUAAGUGACAAACCCCAUUUGUUUAAUGCGUGUGACUCAGAGCAGAGACAAGUUUGAUAUUAGAAUAAAUGGAUUUAAAUAAUAUUUUAUUAUUUUUUAAAAAAAUAUUUUUAACUUUUUCAUAUUAAAAUGAUUUAAAAAUAAUAAUAAAAAAUAUAUUUUUUUUUAAAGCAAAAACAAACUAGGUAUAAUAAAAAAACUUAAUUUAUCUCCAUUUUUUUAAUGACCAAGUUGUAUUCCAAUAAUUGAAGGGGAAAUAGAGACCACUUGUCUUGUAAAAAAUACCGUUGGCCUUUGCUGGUUUCCUCACUCAAAACCACGACGAAGAAGCCUUGAGCCUCUUGUUUUUCUCCCACACUUUUGGUACACUCACCUAUAUAACCAAACCCCUUUACUCCCAUUUACUUCAUCAAAUCAUAGCUCCUGAUAUCUUAAUCUCUCCAAAUCCCACUUCAAAGAGUUUCCAACUUGUUGGUUCUAUAUCACAGUAACAGAGAAAAUGAGUUCAGCAAGCAAAGCUUGGUUGGUUGCAGCAGCUGUUGGAGGUGUUGAGGCGUUGAAAGACCAAGGGUUCUGUAGGUGGAACUACACCUUGAGAUCCCUGCACCAACAUGCCAAGAACCAUGUCAGAUCAGCCUCUCAGGCCAAGAAGCUUUCUUCUUCAUCCUCUGCCAUGAUCUCGAAUAAAGUCAAGGAAGUGAGAGCAAAACAGUCUGAGGAAUCUCUAAGAAAAGUCAUGUAUUUGAGCUGUUGGGGCCCUUACUAAGCAAAGAAGCCACAUGAAAUUGAGGAAAUUAUCGUGAUAGGAUUAGCCUGAUUGUUGCCAGUUGAUGUAAAUUGAUUUUUAAAUAUUGUUGCUGACUUCAUGGAAUCAAACCAUAUUAUUUUUGGAUUAGUUUUUCCUUGCACCAUUUAUUUUAUAGUUUCUGUUUUCCCAUUUCUUUUCUCAGGCCCUCAUGUCGCAAAGUGAAAAGGAUCAUGACAAGGUUAAUUUUAGUGCACCACAGCUUAAAAAAAAAUUGAGGGGCAUUUGUAUUCAAAGAUAUUUGCAUCAAUCGGAAUCUCACUACAAUCUAAAUUAUAAUUUGGUAAAAAUAAAAAUUCAAUUCAAGAAAAAUUAGAUUCGAUUUAGAACUUAUACUGGUUUUUCAAAGACAUAAAUGGAUUAAGAAAUAAUUAUUGGACUUAUCCCCUUUUUGGAGCCGAAAGGAAGUUCAUUAGUCUUUUGGUUUUUUGCAUAAAUGAAGAUGAAUAGGGAUUAUUUUCUUCAAUGUCAAAACUUGUGAAAUUUCAAGAAACUUGGGAAUGCUGCAAAAUGGUUGAACUGGCACAAAAAAAUUAGUAUUUUCUUGAAUCUCUGACAGAUGAAUUAGAUCGCAAGAAAUACUUUUUUUUGAAGUGAAUAAUGUUUCGUAACGUAAGAGAAUCAUUUCUCUACUACUCGUAAAAACAUAAAUUAUUUGGAUUCUUUUUUUUAAGGUUUAGCUAUAUCUAUUGGUGUAAAUAUUAUAAUAACUUUUUUUAUGUAAAAUUAGCAGUUUGUUUUAUAAAACAUUUAGCAAAAUAAUAUCAUUUAAAAAAGAUUUGAUUAAAUAACAUGUUUUUAUCAUAUCAUGCCAAAUAUGAUAUUUAUUAAAUGUUGUUAUUUGUAGAAGUAACAAAUUGAAACUCCAAUCAUCUAGCUCAACAGGUUAAUUAAUUGAAUUAAGUUAUAGUAGUUAUAUAAACUGAUCGAUGUUUUCAUAUAAAAAUGAUAAUUUAAUGAAUUUUAUUAAAAUAUUUUUUAUGAAUCAAAAUAUAUAUCUUUUUUCAACUUAUAUACAAAAAAAUAGAUUUUAAUUAAAAUCUUAAAAUAUUAUUAUUCACAUAGUGAUUGUCCUUUGUUUUUCAUUGUCAAUGAUGUAGCUAUAUUUGCAAUAACUGGUAAUUCUAAAUAAUCAGAUGCAACUCUGCUGUAACUAAAUGAGAUUUGGCCCAAACAUAUUAUUUGGAUAGCUUUGCAUUUGUGAACUAAUAGGACAUGUAUAAACUUAGAAAGAAGGUCUAAUUAUACCAUAACAAAAUAAUGCUUAAAAGAACCAUAACUUUUGAUUAGACACUUAAAUUCUUUACAUGAGUUUUCAGAGGAAGUUUUUUCUAUUGUAGCUACUGUAUCGCUAUAUGAACCGUUAGAUUUUUAAAUAUAAAAAAUCUAGUUGAGUCACUUUGAUUUUAAUAACUUUGAGAUUUUUUUUGUUAUUUUUCGAAUCGAUCAACUGGUUUCACUGACCAUUAUGAAUCGGUUGAGCCAGAUAAUUGAAAUUUCACCUUGUCAUGUUUUAAAAGUGUGAUAUUUAUUAAAUGUCGCUAUUAUUUUAAUUUUUUUAAAAAUAAUAAUAUUUAAUAAAUAUUAUAUUUUUAAAGCACAAUAAAAUCAAAAUAUGCCAUUUCAUAAAAAAAAAAAUCUUCUCUGUUAAUUUGCCAAUUGUUUUGAUUUUAUUCACUAAUUUCCUAAUUUAUCCCUUUUUUUCCGUAACACAGCUAGCUAUAAUGUGCGGGUUCUUCAUUUAUUUAUUUUUCUCAACUGUGAUACAUAACAAUUAAUUUUUUUUCCACGUUUGUUAUUUUGGAAAAAAAAAAAUCGUAUCUUGUGACACAUGCAAUGGAUCUACAAUUAUUAUUGUCUUCAGGAGGUAAUCCUGUCCGUUCCCUGUUUUUGAGUAGAUGCCUAGACAAAUGCUAAAAUGCUAUCCUUCCAGCCCCACUACUAAAGAAAAACAAGUGGAUUUGCCUCCAAUACUUGAGGCUCAAUUUUGAUUUUUAUAAAGCAAACCGUGUGCCUCUUACCAAAAACAAGUCCCCACUCCAGCUUUGUCGUAAUUGAAUAUGAUAAGAUGCAUGAAAAAGAAAUCCCCCAUUUUUUCUCCAUUUGUAUUUAAUGCCACCAAGUGGUCCUUGAUGGACAUAAAGAUUCAGUCCCAUCCUAGCCUAACUGCACUAAAAUAAUACCACUGGCUUUAACUUGUGCCAAAACCACCAGCCACAGCUUAUCCCUGGCUUCCGGUUUCCUCCAAUUUUCGGGUCCUCUAGUCCCCUCCUCUCUAUAUAAGCAAUCCCCAGCUUGUCAUCUCCACCAUCAAACACCAUUUCCCUUCUCAAUUACAUCUCAACUUUUUCAAAACGUUGUCCAUCUUCUAGCUCUUCAGUUCAAUCGAAAGAAAUAGAAAAAUGAGUUCAACAAGCAAAGCUUGGGCUGUUGCCACUAGUAUUGCAGCUGUGGAGGCUUUGAAAGAUCAAGGAUUUUGCAGAUGGAACUACACAAUAAGAUCACUAUACCAACAUGCCAAGAACCAAGGCAAGUCAUCCUCUCUGCCCAAGAAGCUCUCUUCUCCAGCUUCUACUGUGGUUGCCGGUAAAGUAAGAGAGAAUCAGAAAGCAAGGCAAUCCGACGAGUCACUGAGGCAGGUCAUGUACUUGAGUUGCUGGGGUCCUUACUAGCCAGGCAGUGAACUACCAGCAAGGAACUAUGGCCAUGCAUGCACUGGUUGCAGCAUAGAGACAAUCGAAGUCUUUCCAAGAGAGACUUAUUUGGAGAAACAUGACAAGGCCGACUUCUUAUGACGAUGGACGCUGGAACCCAUCAACGAUUAGUCAGCUUCAUUUGAAUGUUAUGCUCUAGCAAUAUAUGUUUCAAUCAAUUGUAGCCCAAUGAAUUGCUGAAUGAUGGGAGCAAAUUCUUUCCAUUGCUGCAACAACUUGCAAGUGAUGUAAAUUGUAAUUUUUCAGAAUGUAACGGCAUUUAAAUUAAGACUCAAUUGAAUCAGUAAGCUAAUUACAUGAGUGGAUUAAAGUCUUGUUCUCUGCUUUUAGCCCAUAGGGAAUAAUUACUACAACGUCAAAACCUGUGUGCCUUCAUGAAACUUGGACUGUGGCAGAGUGGAUGAACCUCACACGACACUUUCUACUAUAAGUUUAUAUAUUGGGAUUAGGCUGCAGUCAAGUCUUGAGUAACAAAAAUUAAACCGGGUGGGGUUUUUUAUUGUGGCAGUGUGCGACAUCGCGGCGAAAAAUAUAAGUGUUUUUCAUUUUAAAUCGACAAUGUAAAUCUAUAUCUAUUUUAAAUCUACAAUGUAAAUCUAUAUCUAUUUGGCAAAUGGAGAGACAAGAAAUUCUUGUUUUUUGUUGGUGGAAAAUGGAAUGGGAGUCGUCACCUAGUAUUUUGGUCACUAGAAAUUUUAACUGGUCUCAGAGAUCGGGCACGGGGACUGGUUGCGUAAAGAGAAGGUAUUAGCACCCCAAAUACGCCUUACCUAAGAUAAGCUGCAUUAUUUUAUUGUCUGAUAAAAUCUAAGGUCUUUUCGUGUUUUCCUAGUUGUUGGUAUAGUUCAAGAAAAGUCCUCCUCGGUAAGGAGAUCCUUAUCUUAAUGGGUAAUUCUGACGUUAACAAAAGAAUUUAAUAUUCAGAAUAUGUCUUACGUAUAAGAUCGUAACCCCAAAUACUAAGUCCUCCUCGGUAAGGAGAUCCUUAUCUUAAUGGGUAAUUCUGACGUUAACAAAAGAAUUUAAUAUUUGGAAUACGUCUUACGUAUAAGAUCGUAACCCCAAAUACUAAAAGAAAACACAAUAAUUUUUUUGGAAGUUUUGAAAUAUUGGUCUAGUUCUCAUGGCUUGAAUAAACUGGUUAUUAAAGCCAACAUGCAUGUUAAUACAUAUAUUGUUUUGAAGUUUCCUUUGUUGCGUGAAAAUACGAUGUUAUAAUAUUUAUAUAUAUAUAUUGGAGAGACUAGGCCGUAUGCAUUAAAACAAAAACAUUUUUUUUAUAUAUAUAUUUUUGAUGUUUUGACGAAAACCGGGUAUUUUAAUACUUGAUUUGUAUCUUUACGGUAUAAAAAUACAAACCAAUAUUAAACCAUUUUGACAAAAAAAUAUGCAGGAAAAUCAUAGGAUUUUUUAUAAUAUAUUUUUUUGAAAGCAAAACAUUUUUUAUUUUAAAAUUUUUUGAUGUUUUGACGGAAACCGAGUAUUUUAAUACUAGAUUUGUAUCUUUACAGUAUAAAAAUACAAACCAAUAUUAAACCAUUUUGACAAAAAUAUGCAGGAAAAUAAACAAUAUUUUUUUCAAAUAUUUUUUAGAAUAUUUCUUUUUAUUUUAUACACACACAUAAUAUAAAACAAUAUAAUAUAUAAUAUAAUAUAUAAUAUAAUAUAUAAUAUAAUAUAUUAUGUGGGCUGGGCCGACCCAAAUAAAUGGGCCAGGCUCAGCCCAGCAUGGAUUGGGCCAAUCUCGGCCCAUUCAAUCUCUCAUUUUUGUCUGGGCCAGACUGGCCCAGAAUCAAUCUGGCCCAGCGCAAGAAACCCAUCGAGAGGGGAAUUAUUUUUCCCCUCCUAUCAAUUCUACAUGCAGGAGGAAAACGCCACGAGAAAAAAAUGCAGGGAGAAGACUUUACCUGGCGUGGAGGAGGUGGUCGUUGGUGGUGCUGCGAUGGAGGCCGGUGGCGGUGUCGUGGCUCACGGACGGCGGCUCCAAGCGGCGGUGCUGCUGUUUCAAACGGCGGAGGGUGAGGAUACUGCUCUUCCUUUCUCCUCCGUAUGGCUUCCUCUUCUUUCGUUUUUGGUGGUUUCCUCAGUUCGGGUUUGCUAGUUGUUCUUUUUGGUUCGGUUCUUUCCCUCCUUUUCCUAUGUUUUCUCUUUUUUUUUCUUUCGGUUUGUUCCUUCUCUUCCCUCUCUACUGAUCGUUCUCUCUCUUCGGGUUUUCUCCUUUCUUUCCCCUCUCUCUAUUCGAGCCUCUCUUUUCGUUUUCUUUUUUUUCCUCUUUUUUCCUCCCCCUCGCGUGCUGGCGUCCAGUCUUCAUUUAUAUGGGGCAAGGGAGCGGGGGCGUCGCUAUUGCCACCCUAUGGCAGCGCACGGGGAGCAGGGCUUUGCUGCCCUGCCACAGCGCCGGGCUGGCUGGCCAGUGGGCGUGGCUGGUAGGGCGCGGCUCCCUCGACUUUUCAUCAUGAGAGCGCAUGGGGGGGCGGUUUUGGCAGAUGUGGCAUGUCGGGUUCAACGACGAAAGAAGAAAAAAUUGCCUUCCCCUGCUGCACGUCCAGGGGAAGAGAUAGGGAACAGUGUCGUUCAAAACGACACUAUUCUGUUUUUUUUUUUUUUAACAUGAAACGGCGCCAUUUUAGACAAAACGCGCCGUUUCAUUUAAAUCAAAAAGGGGCGCCGAAAGGCGUCAUUGUCCAAGUCAGUCCUUAAUUAUAUUUUGUUCAUUUCAAUUGCAUCCCUUCCAAUUUCGGUCGCCACCCCUAUAUUUGUCCGCGUUUUUCACUUCAAUCCUUGGCCUCUGAUUUAUGCAAUUUGACCCUCAAUUAAUCAAUAAACUUCCAAUUUCUUCAAUUUAGCCCAUGAUUUUGUUAAUUACAACCCCUAUAUUUACACGCCUUUUCCAAUUUGGUCCUUGGUUUCGGAUAUUCUCAAUUCAGUCCCUAAUUGGCCAUUAAAGUUCAAUAUUUAUGCAAUUAAGCCCUUGAUUUGACCAAAUCAAUUCCUAAAAAUUAUAAUUUGACCCCAGAACUUUAAUUUCUUCCAAUUAAAGCCCAAAUUGACAUAAAAAUCAAUUUUUCUUGCAAUCAAAACCUCUAUAAAUUCAAUUAAACUUGCAAUAAAAUCCAAUUAAGUCCAUAAACAUCCAAUUUUGAACUUUUCUCUUCAAAUUGAAUUUUUUUCUUUUCCAACUGGGCUUUCAUCAUUCAAGGAUACACUGUCAAAAUUUCAAUCUUUGUAUUUUUAACCUCCUAUUAUUUUUUUAUUUUUUUAAUUUCUUCCGGCUAUAUAUAUAUAUAUAUAUUUAUUAUUAUUAUUAUUUAUUACUUUUAUUAUUUAUUUUGAUUUUUAUUAUUUUUGUUAUUAUUAUAUUUUUUAUUUAUUUUUAUUUUUAUUUUUAUUUUUGUGUGGGGACCCAAAAAUGGGUUACAACAUCGAUGUUGAAGAUGCACUAUUUACUUUUUCAAAGAGAUGAUUGGAUUAAAAGAAAAAAAAAGAAGAAGGUAAAAUGUAAGGUGAUUUUGAAUUUUAUAUAAAAAGUUUAUCGUGGUUUUUUAUAUAUUUAUUUUUAUAGAUGAUUGGUCCGAAAUUAAAUUUAGAUAUCAAUUUUUUUUUUAGUUUUUUUUUAAGAGGAAAGGACUAUUGGAUUAGUAGAGAGAGAAAAAAUAAUUAUUAACGAUUAUUCUAGCCAUAAAAAAUAAUUAAAAUUGGUGUUAAUAGAUUAUAUUUUUUACAACGAUAUUUAGUUGACGGAUUCGGCGAAAAAACAAACUAUGCGUAGUUUGUUGUCUUCAUUCUCGAGGGUUGGGUUGGAAGGCUUACGUGUUUGUAUUGCUUUUAUUUUUUUUUAUUUUUUGAUAUUUUAUAUUUUAAUUAAAAAAUUAAUAAAAAAUUUAUUAAAUUCAAUCAAAUUCAUGAGGAGUUUCUGCUUCUCAAAAAAAAAAAAAAAAUCAUCUCUUAUUAAUGAUGAUCUAUUUUUUUAACUCCAACUUAAAAUAGUGCAAUUUUAAUUUUACUAUUAUUAUCAAUAAUAUACUUUUGCUAUAUUAGCACCACGUCCCUAUCAUGAUUUUUUUACUUAACAAAAAAUAUUUCAUACAAAAAAAUUAUCAUGUGCUUUAUUGUUUUUAUUGUUAUGUAAUUAAAUGAAAAAUAAUUUUUGGAAUCAAAAAAUUAUUGAAUUUGAUGACUAACAUGAUUUGCUUUGUGAGUUUGACUGGCCGAGUCGAGUUGAUUUAAGUUUUUAAAUUAAAUACUAUUUUUUUAACCGAUUUUGUUCUUCAACAUUGAGUUAAUUUAAGAUUAAGCUUUUAAUUUGUUUUUUUAUUUUAUUUUUCAGAUUAUCCCUACAACUUUUAUAUCACAUCCAUGUUAAUUUAGGUAAAUCAAAUAUUUUUUUUUAUCUUAAUAUUAAAUAAAAAUAUCGUUCAAUUCAUAAUUAAAAUCUAGUUUUUUAGAAGACACAUCACUAAUAUUUAAAUAAUUUUUUUGUUUUUAAUUUAAAAUCUGCUCCAAACCCACGGCAUAGGGCGGUAGUUCAAAGCUCCGUAAAAGGAAUUCACAAGUUAGAGCAAAUAUUUGGAGUAAUUAUUCAUAAUCUUUCGUAAAAUAGGUAAACCAAUUUAUUUUCUGAUCACAGUCCAUGUCGUUUCCAUAUCAACAUUAUGCAUCACGAGUCAUUUUUGCUUUUUUUGAACCCCUUGCAACUAAAGUUAUUAAAUUGGAUAUGCUAAUAACUUAUUUUAAGAUUUGGACUAAACAAGUUAAUUUAAAUUGUUUUUAUUAAUUAAAAUAAUAUUAUUUAAUUUAUUUUUUAAAAUUAAAUUAAGUUUGAAACUAAUUCAAUCAUGUGAUAAUUUGAUCCAUCAUAUAGUUUAACUAAGUUAAUUAUCAUCUACUUUUUUAAAAAAUUAACUUGAUUCAGGUUUAAUAAUAAUUAUCAAAACUUGAGAACUGUUUUUUCCUUAAGUUUUACUUAUUUAUUUAUCUUUUUAGUGAUAUAUAAAUCGUUAAAAAAUAAUAUAAAUUAUAUCCUGGAAUUUUGCCUAACCGAUUAAGCUAUUAAGUUAAGAUGGUUUUUUGAUAUAGUAUCAGAGCGUUGAUGAUCAAGCGGUCACGAGUUCGAAUCUCACCAUCCCUAUUUAUUUAAUAAAAAUCAAACACAAGAUAAUAUGAGUUUGUGCAAGUUUCAAGUCCAAAUGACUUUUAUUUGAGGAGGUGUCAAUUUAAACUAUUAAAUUGAAAUAAUUUUUUUGAAACGGAAGGAUUCACAAUUAUUGUGUUCAUGAUGUGAUCCUAUACUUUUUCCUGUUUUUGAGUAGAUGACUAGAUAAAAUUUAUUUAAAAAAAAAAAUCAAAACGACAUUGUUUUAGUAAAAAAGAAAACAAAAAAAAUAAAAGCCAAUAAGUUUGUGGCCGGGUCUUUACCAGAUCUUUCCAGGUCAGCCGGAUCACACCAAAUUUUUCCUUUCUUUAUUUUUUUUUCAACCCGGUCCGGUUUCGUUCCCGGAUCGACCUACCAGGUCAUCAGGUUUCAAAACUAUGUCGAAGGUUACCACCUUUGGUUUUUUAUCUCUAUUUUUUAAAUGACCAAGUUGUAUUCCAAUAAUUAAAGGGGAAAUAGAGACCACUUGUCUUAUAAAAAAUACCGUUGGCUUUUGCUGGUUUCCUCACUCAAAACCACCACGAAGAAGCCUUGAGCCUCUGGUUUUUCUCCUACAAUUUUGGUACACACUCACCUAUAUAACCAAACCCCUUUACUCCCAUUUACUUCAUCAAAUCAUAACUCCUGAUAUCUUAAUCUCUCCAAAUCCCACUUCAAAGAGUUUCCAGCUCGUUGGUUCUAUAUUACAGUAACACAGAAAAUGAGUUCAGCAAGCAAAGCUUGGUUGGUUGCAGCAGCUGUUGGAGGAGUCGAGGCCUUGAAAGACCAAGGGUUCUGUAGGUGGAACUAUACCUUGAGAUCGCUACACCAACAUGCCAAGAACCAUGUCAGAUCAGCCUCUCAGGCCAAGAAGCUUUCUUCUUCAUCUUCUGCUAUGAUCUCGAAUAAAAUCAAGGAAGUGAAAGCAAAACAGUCUGAGGAAUCUCUAAGAAAAGUCAUGUAUUCGAGCUGUUGGGGUCCUUACUAAGCAAAGAAGCUAGAACAGAUUGAGGAAGUUAUCGUGAUAGGAUUAUCCUGAUUGUUGCAAGUUGAUGUAAAUUGAUUCGUAAAUAUUGUUGCUGAC
This 26865-nucleotide long non-coding RNA is filed under the name Populus tremula. Its description in RNAcentral is "long non-coding RNA (PTRE_LNC001600)". Lineage: Eukaryota; Viridiplantae; Streptophyta; Magnoliopsida; Malpighiales; Salicaceae. The record is from RNAcentral.